UAAGGAAUAUUGGUCGAUGGACGCAAGUCUGAACCAGCCAUGCCGCGUGAAGGAUGAAGGUCCUCUGGAUUGUAAACUUCUUUUAUCUGGGACGAAAACGGGAUUUUUAUCUCAAUUGACGGUACCAGAGGAAUAAGCACCGGCUACCUCCGUGCCAGCAGCCGUGGUAAUACGGAGGGUGCAAGCGUUAUCCGGAUUCACUGGGUUUAAAGGGUGCGUAGGUGGGCAGAUAAGUCAGUGGUGAAAUCUUCCGGCUUAACCGGGAAACUGCCGUUGAUACUAUUUAUCUUGAAUAUUGCGGAGGUCAGCGGAAUAUGUCAUGUCGCGGUGAAAUGCUUAGAUAUAACAUAGAACACCAAUUGCGAAGGCAGCUUACUACACAAUCAUUGACACUGAGGCACGAAAGCGUGGGUAGCGAACA
This 421-nucleotide ribosomal RNA is filed under the name uncultured bacterium. RNAcentral's name for it is "bacterial SSU rRNA". It matches the Rfam family "Bacterial small subunit ribosomal RNA", at positions 355 to 774 of the family's 1533-position model. The record is from RNAcentral.